AUCUGAUGCGAUUUCUUUACAUCUUCAGUUAAAUCAAUCUUCUGAACUGGGACUCAGGUCUUUCAAGUUAGUUGGAUUUUCGUCCAAUUGAAACUUUGUCAAAUGACUUGGGACUCGCUUUUUGCAAUAUUGUGAACAGUCAAAAUGAUUGUGCUCCUUUGUCACUGUCAAUAGAUAAUAUGCACUUUUUUUUGUUCUAAAUUUCUUUUUAUAGGUUGCUUUGAUAAGGUCAGCCUGUAUAUUGAACCAGACUGCUGGUUUCAGGGCAUUGUGCUGCAUUACUGACGAUCUUGUGAUUGCUGAUUCUGUGAUACAUUUAUAGUCCUAAUCUUUUGUUCAAACACUUGUUGCAGCACUGGUCAAAAAUACAUAUACACUGGAUCUGGUGACUCUUCUGUGCGCAUAUAUGAUCUGAUGAGUGGAGCUGAAGUUGCAAGACUUGAAUUUCAUGAAGGACCUGUAAGAGAUUGUAGUUGGCAUCCUUCCUACCCAAUGCUCGUAAGCUCUUCCUGGGACGGUACUAUUGCCAGGUGGGAAUUUCCAGGUUAAGGUAACCCAGCUUCUACACCAGAGAGGAGACCAAGUAGGAGGGAGGGUUUUCUAGGUAGGCUGAUAAAUAAUCAUCUACAAAGCUCGGCAAAGGAAAAGAAAAGAAAUUCUGAUAUGUUGGUACUAUGUUAUUCUUAAGGUGGUUAUCCGAUUUUUUGUUGCGGAUAUAUAGCUUGUUCUGCCAUUUAUAGACAAAUUUGAAAGGGUUUCCAUCUUUUUAUUAGCAGACUCAUUGCUGUACAUAUACCAUAGGAAAUGGGGAAUGUUUAUGAAUUUUAUUUUGGCCUAAAUUAUACCUAGUUGCUCAUUUUUCUUC
Carica papaya (papaya) is the source of this 865-nucleotide non-coding RNA. The record is from RefSeq and is a predicted model, not a curated record. Lineage: Eukaryota; Viridiplantae; Streptophyta; Magnoliopsida; Brassicales; Caricaceae.